AAUAAGAUAGGAUAAUUUAGUCUAUUAGGUUCAUACCCUAAAUAAGUUUUCUCUUGUUA
Molecule: transfer RNA, 59 nt
Filed under: Ancylostoma ceylanicum
Lineage: Eukaryota; Metazoa; Nematoda; Chromadorea; Rhabditida; Ancylostomatidae
Description: tRNA-Met
Source: RNAcentral